CCAUGGCUGUGAUGAAAAACACUUUCAACAAACAUGCCAGUUCUGCUUCUGAAAAUUCAUGACUGAAAAACCUGUUAUACAAGAUCUGUUUAGU
This 94-nucleotide small nucleolar RNA is filed under the name Triticum aestivum (bread wheat). Lineage: Eukaryota; Viridiplantae; Streptophyta; Magnoliopsida; Poales; Poaceae. The record is from RNAcentral.